Molecule: ribosomal RNA, 245 nt
Filed under: uncultured bacterium
Lineage: Bacteria
Description: partial 16S ribosomal RNA
Rfam family: Bacterial small subunit ribosomal RNA
Source: RNAcentral
UACGAAGGGGGCUAGCGUUGCUCGGAGUUACUGGGCGUAAAGGGCGCGUAGGCGGGUGUUUAAGUCAGAGGUAAAAGCCCGGGGCUCAACCCCGGAACCGCCUUUGAUACUGGACAUCUUGAGUACGGGAGAGGUGUGUGGAACUCCGUGUGUAGAGGUGAAAUUCGUACAUAUUCGGAAGAACACCAGUGGCGAAGGCGACACACUGGCCCGUUACUGACGCUGAGGCGCGAAAGCGUGGGGAG